This 484-nucleotide ribosomal RNA is filed under the name uncultured bacterium. RNAcentral's name for it is "bacterial SSU rRNA". It matches the Rfam family "Bacterial small subunit ribosomal RNA", at positions 32 to 518 of the family's 1533-position model. The record is from RNAcentral.
AACGCUGGCGGCGUGACUUACACAUGCAAGUCGAACGGAGUUUUAACGGAAGUUUCGGAUGGAAGUUAGAACUUAGUGGCGGACGGGUGAGUAACGCGUGGGUAACCUGCCUCAGUACAGGGGGGAUAACAGUUAGAAAUGACUGCUAACACCGCAUAAUAUAGCGAAACCGCAUGAUUUUGCUAUCAAAUAUUUAUAGGUAUGAGAUGGGCCCGCGUCUGAUUAGCUAGUUGGUGGGGUAAAAGCCUACCAAGGCGACGAUCAGUAGCCGGCUUGAGAGAGUGACCGGCCACAUUGGGACUGAGACACGGCCCAAACUCCUACGGGAGGCAGCAGUGGGGAAUAUUGGACAAUGGGGGAAACCCUGAUCCAGCGAACCGCCGCGUGAGUGAAGAAGUAUUUCGGUAUGUAAAGCUCUAUCAGCAGGGAAGAUAAUGACAGUACCUGACUAAGAAGCCCCGGCUAACUACGUGCCAGCAGCCGC